This is a small nuclear RNA of Bos grunniens (domestic yak), 104 nucleotides long. The record is from Ensembl. NCBI's taxonomy places the organism in Eukaryota, Metazoa, Chordata, Mammalia, Artiodactyla, Bovidae.
ACAAUAAAAGUAUAGUGCUUGCUUCAGCAACACAUAUAAUAGAGAAUAUUAGCAUGGUCCCUGCGCAAAGAUGAAACCAAAUUCAUGAAGUGUUCCGUAUUUUU